Long non-coding RNA from Coffea eugenioides, 871 nucleotides. RefSeq lists it as uncharacterized. The record is from RefSeq and is a predicted model, not a curated record. NCBI's taxonomy places the organism in Eukaryota, Viridiplantae, Streptophyta, Magnoliopsida, Gentianales, Rubiaceae. The transcript is spliced from 3 exons.
GAAUCCAUGUGGAUGGCAGUCUUUAGAUGAAAGAGUUUCUAUGCCUGACUUGGUGAGUUAUUUUUCCUUUGCAAGGAUCUUAAGUAUGAUGAAUGGGCAAAGUUAAAGACCGUUUGUAAAACAUACUGAAAUUAGAAAAAAAUAUAUGAAACUAGAAGAUAUGAACCACCUCAAAGGAUUACCGUUUGUAAGAAAAUAUGAAGCUGACAAUGACAGAUUUUCUUGAGGAUUAGAGCUAUCCAAGAAGCUGCAUCAAAGAUGAUUCUGGUUUGCUACAGGGAUUCUCAUGCAUGAGGUAAAGAACAGAGCUAUGGAUAAGCCAAUACAUGGGAAAGCUACCGGUUGGAUUUUUGAGUCGUGAUGACAAAUGCUGCGAAUGAGGCUUGUCUGUCGUUUUAUAGAGAUAUAGCCUGAUCGAAUUGUGAAGCUUUCAUCUGUUAAAGGAAUCUAUGUUGGCACAUUUGAAAAGCUUGAGAAAUGACCAUUUGACCAGUCCAUCAGAUGACACCCUGUAGAAUGUGCAUCUUUUGAUUUAAACAGAAGGUGCAGCCACAAGAGCAACUACCCUGUCUAUGAGUGUGGUGUGUUCCCAGAUUUCGCACUUAGAGAUUGACCAUAUUCCAAGGAAACUCUAGUCUACACUUGUAUUUAGGAUUUCUUCAAUUCUGUGUAUUCAAUAAUACUGUCUUCAGUUCUGUAUAUUAUUCUCAUGAUGCUAUACAUUUUCUCUGACAUUUUGCUGAAGAAUACAUUAUUGCUAGAUGUAAAAGUGGACGAGUAUUACAAUAUACUAGCACAUUGUAAAGUAUGUGAUCUUGUAAAUUAUCUUCCAUCUUGUGUCAAAAGAAAUUGCUAGAUUGCAUUUUAAUCA